Molecule: ribosomal RNA, 409 nt
Filed under: Actinomycetes bacterium
Lineage: Bacteria; Bacillati; Actinomycetota; Actinomycetes
Description: Actinobacteria bacterium partial 16S ribosomal RNA
Rfam family: Bacterial small subunit ribosomal RNA
Source: RNAcentral
UGGGGAAUAUUGCACAAUGGGCGAAAGCCUGAUGCAGCGACGCCGCGUGGGGGAUGACGGCCUUCGGGUUGUAAACCUCUUUUAGCAAGGAAGAAGCGAAAGUGACGGUACUUGCAGAAGAAGCGCCGGCUAACUACGUGCCAGCAGCCGCGGUAAUACGUAGGGCGCAAGCGUUGUCCGGAAUUAUUGGGCGUAAAGGGCUUGUAGGUGGCUUGUCGCGUCUGCCGUGAAAACUCGAGGCUUAACCUUGGGCGUGCGGUGGGUACGGGCAGGCUAGAGUGCGGGAGGGGAGACUGGAAUUCCUGGUGUAGCGGUGAAAUGCGCAGAUAUCAGGAGGAACACCGAUGGCGAAGGCAGGUCUCUGGGCCGUUACUGACACUGAGAAGCGAAAGCAUGGGGAGCGAACAGG